Centrocercus urophasianus (Greater sage-grouse) is the source of this 6822-nucleotide long non-coding RNA. RefSeq lists it as uncharacterized. The transcript is spliced from 3 exons. The record is from RefSeq and is a predicted model, not a curated record. Lineage: Eukaryota; Metazoa; Chordata; Aves; Galliformes; Phasianidae.
GUAAUGGAAGGGCAGCCAUGCAGAUGUCACCAGAAGUGAGCCUGUCCCUGGUGCUGUGCCACAGCGGCUGUGGUAGGAUGUGCUCAGUGAUCAGACUGCGUGACAUUUGUGCAGGGUGAAAAAGGCAUUCAGUUUUCUAUGCUGGUCAACAAUAGCAUGCUUUGCAUGCUUUGCAAAUAUCUGAGAAGCAGAAAAGCAAAUUGUACAUGUGAGCAGCGUGGCCUGACUUUCUGAGCAGUCUGCACGGGGCACCUUUCAGGCAGUGGAAGCUCAGACUGCUGUGUGCUUUGGUGUGAAUAACAUGCAGCUUCAUGGAUAGCUGCAGUGCAAUUAAAUGGCAAGAACUGCCUACUCAACAUGUGCAUCAGCCCAGGAUGCUGCCAUAGCAAAGCAGAGUGUUUCUGCUGCUUUUGAAAUUUGGCAAGGGUAUAAAAAUAAUUUAGUGUCUGGAAGACAUUUUCCACCAGACGUUUUCCUUUAGAACCAGCAAAAAAAAUGUAGUCUAAAUUAGUGUUUGGCAAGGUCUUUACAAAGGAAGGUUAGUCAGAUGUAGCACACGUAAGAUUAACUCUUACAACUAUGAAAAGCUCAUAUUCUGAAAGCAGGAAUUUCUUUAUGCAGCAGGAGUUUAUUUGAUUCUAAGAUUAUUAAGAUUAUGUUUAGGCUCCUCCACCUCACUCAUGUUUUCUUAUUCUGAGUAUGGCAGUGGCCUGUAUUUUGUGUUUAUUCAGCACAGCUAGUAAUGCAAAUCCAAAAUCACACAAAAAGCAAUGUUCCCUUCUCAACCCAGCCUCAGUUAUAAGCAGUUGCUGGGCCACUCUGAGACCUUCUGGGUUGGAAGAUGCACAGGGCAGAGGAUGCAGGAAGAGGGGACAGACAAGUUGACUGGUGCCACUGAGAAAUAAGUGCUAUCACAAACAGCCACUCACCCCAUCAGAGCCCUGCAAGGGAUGGUGUUUGUUUCAGUUCUCUGAUGCUCCCAGUGCAGUCAAAAUAUUUGAAAAACACCAUUUUGCAAAAACCUGGGGAGCUCCUGCUUUGUUUUGCAUUCGUUGGAAGGAAAAAAAAUGUUUUCACAAGAGUUACCAAGAAAACAGCAAACAUAAGCUGGGGUGUGGAGAAGCUUUUUCCUGAUAGACACAUUGGGAGAAAACAAAUAAAAGCAAUUGAGUGGAGAGGAAUGCUUUUGUCACUGGCUGGUUGUAGCAGUUCAGCUAGUUAGGUCAGCCCCUGGGCCCAGUCCUUUCAGAUGACAUCUGGGGACAGGAACGGAUAGCACAGCACUUUCCCAGGCAGGGAGCGGGCUCUGCAGGUACGUGCUCACCUUGUGAGUGCAUGAGAAUUAAAACAUCUGUUACAACCUCUUGGAUAAAACUUGCUUCAGAUGGGGAAACACGAGGUAACUGCAUCUUAAUUCCAAGCGGCAGUAUUGUAAGUUACUUAUUUUUCUGCAGAGCAUUAGUGAUGGUUAGAUUCGAAGUGAGAAGAUGCAGGGACUGUCAGCUCGGCCUGCCUGGGAGAUGUGGGGAAGCGUGCUCUCUGCCCUGCAUUUGUCCAUUGCCCACUAUGGGCCCAAAACUGAGAAACAAGUAUUGAAAGCAAGUAAGAACCAAGAAAGACCUCACCCUUCAGGUAUUUCUGCAGGGGAACAAAAAGGAAGAAAAAAAAAGAAUAAAAGAAAAAAGUAAAUAAGAGGUACCAGAGCUGUAGAACUGGGAAAGAAAACUGUAGGCAUAGGGCAGGAAUAGAAACUGGCUUUGGUUUCCUCUACAUCCAUGCACUACUGCACCAAAAGGACAGCAAGCAUUAGCAGGGCAAAGAAAAUGUGCAUUUGUUUUCUGGUUUUCCUGUCCUGUACAGAUAAUAUCACAUGCCUCAGAGGCUCAGACAUCCAUCAUCUUACCUGCAAGCUACGCAGAGGGCAGAGAGCAAAGCAAGUACAAAGAAGACAGUCCCUGUUAAAAUUGCCAGCAUCAGUACAUUUUCCAUUCUCUCCUGCCUCACAGCAUCCACGGUGUUGGGUUCUGUGAUGUUCUUGUACUCAAAGAGCAUUGCGAAACCUCUGCCCCGGUUGGUGGUGGUAAUGAGUUCCAUGAUAACCUCAACCAUUUCCAGAGACGAACCAAAGACCAUGGUCCUGUUUAAAGGUGAAUUUGGUCCACAGAAACGAGAGGAAAACGUGAUGAGAUCUGAAACAUACAGUACGUCGUGGGGACAGACAUCCACUGCCGGCUGCUGGCUGGAGAUUUCCACUGGCAGUAUUGUUGUGGGAAGCGUCCAGCUCUCUCCCAGACUUUCAUCUCUCUCACUAGCAGCUAGGUGGGCAAACAAAAUAUUGCCUUUCCAACCUUCUUUUGUUUCUUGGCCGCUAACAUUUUGCCUCUGUGUUUUGGCGCCAUCGGAAUCAGGUAAUGGCUGUUCUUCUCUUUGAGUCUCCGUAAUCGCUUUGCGUUCCUUCAUCUGUUUUGGCCGGUUUCCUUCGGACGUCUGUUUGGCUUCACCUUUCUUUGAGGCUGCUCCUGGAAGUUCGUCCAGGUGGCCAGGAAGUCCUUCUGACUGAUCUCCUGCACCGCUCAGAUUCUGAGCUGCCUUUGACGUCCAGCUCUGAAGAGAGGAUUCUGUAGUCUGGAGAACGAAGUCCAGGUUUUCCUCGGGAGGAGUCACGUCCUUAUUUCCUGUUAUCGCAGCAGCUGGAAAGCCAUCCCAGGGGGUUGGAGUUUCACUUGAGCUCUCAAAAAUGUCAAAGUCAAAAAUUUCCAAGAUGAGAUGCAUUCUUACGGGAAUGAAGAAUUGCCAAACGCAGUGUGUCCCCGGGUAGUAGUUGUUUGGAAAUCCUGGUGAUAAAAUCAGGCCUCUUUCCAUUGACUCCACCACCGCGCCACAGGAAUAAUAGACCUGGGAAAUACAACAAAUACACUUACUUCUUGCCAGAGACAACAUACAGGACGCAGCAUGCUGGACCUACGGAAGAUCCUACCCCUUCCCUUUAGUGACUGGUGUAGACUUCUACAGGCUUCAUGAAUUCUGAGUUCCUGAGGCUAUCUUCUGCUUGCACAUUCAGAGCCUUAAUCUCUAAUAUGGACAACCAGUCUCAGACUGUGAGAGCGCGUACUGAGCACACAGCUUCUGAGGAAAUAUAAUCCAGAUGAGCAAUUCACACAGUGUUCAUUUUCUAUCCCUAUUUCAAUUAUAAUAGCAUCCCUUUCUGCUUUUGGCUGAUGCACGUUCCCAGGUUACUGAAUCCUGAAUACAUUUGUUGUUGACACACAACUCUUUGCUGCACAAAUGUGUCAUCCUAAACAGCUUGUAGUGUGAUAAAAACCUUAAGCUGAAGAAAAACUGUGUCACUACAGCAUCUUGAAUUCUAUGUUAUUCUCAUUACAAAACCACUUUUUUAAGUGCAACAAGGCCCUCGCACUGAUGAUUAUCCAUGAAUCAUCUAAACAACUUAUCUUGGUUUCAGAGACGUUUGGACUUAUUUACUUCAGUAAUACAGGCAGUUUUGAUUGGGUACAUUUUCUCUUGAAAUGCAAAGGCUCUGGAAAUAGUGCCAGCAGAUACCCGCUCACACUGGUAGGCCAGCAAUCUGCAAGCAUUUUGCAUAACAGUGACAGUUCCGUUUGAAAUUCAUUUCUUCUUGCUCUAUAAAUAGCCUUCACAGUCUCCCAAAAAGGAAGAAAUGGGUGCACUGCCAACCAUUCUGCUUCUUUAAAGGUAGGCGAGGCUGUUUUCACACAUCAUAUUCACAACAACCUUUCCCAGAAGUAAGCUCCCGGAGCCCUUUUUCAAGAUGCUUUCCAUAAACGUGCGGGGUGCAGAGCCCUGUCUGUGCCUGGGGCAACAGCUUUUGAAAAGGAGAACAAAUAAGUCACAAGUGCUGAGGUCAUGAGCCUUGUCUGGGAGCACGUGUUUACUAUCAUAAAUUGGAAAAGAAAGAGAAUGCUUGGGGGUUGUUUUUAUUCUUUAUUAUUAUUGUUGGAUUCAUUGUCUCAGUCUGUUAUCUAUUUAAACACAAAGAAAGCUUGGCAGUAGAACAAACAAAGCUUAUGAAGUCCAUAUAAAGCCACAAAGAUCAAAAUACUCCAGAUUUCUUUUUUUUUCUCCCGGUCCCUCCCCGUCUCAUGUUGAAAUGGAAAGAAGAAAAAAAAACAACAACCCAAAUGUUAAAAGCCCCUAAAUAAAAACAAACCAAAAAAGGCUGGGUGUUCUGCAAGGCAUUAGCUUUGUUUUCCAACAGGUGCUUUUCAUAUUCAGAGCGAUUUCAGGGGGGGUGGCAGGGCAGCAAUAGGAAAGGACCAAAACAGUGGUGAAAUAGAAAUUGUUUUCUAUACUCCAGGUUGAAAUCCGAUCUUUGAUUUUUAAAAGUGCCUCUUAAAUCACAGGUUGAGCUAAUUAUAGGGGAAUGAACUGCAGGUUUCUCAUUUAAGACACCUGGACCAUGGCUUGAAGUUUCAAGUGAAAAAGAAACCAUGCACAGCUGCUCAGGUUUUCUGUCUAAUCAUUGGUGCUGUGCAGUAAUGCAAAAAUGGCUAAGCUGUGUGCCAUUCUCUCCAGGAGGUAAUAUGUUGUUAUUAUUAUUCGAGUCUAAAUCAGUUUAUUCAAAUAGAAAUCCAGAGGAAAACAUUGUCAGUUUAGGAGGAUACAGAUCCUAACUUCCACUUUUCCAUCUGAAUUAUGGAUGCAUUUGUUGUCACUUUGUAAAUGCUGUUGAUAAGGAGCUGGUUCCCACUGACUGAACCCUUCUUCCCUUAGGGAGAGGGUUACUCUGUGACACAGUUUCCCUGUGAGGUCCCUCUGUCCUGGGCUGUCCAUGCAGAUUGUCUUCAUUUCAUGGCAGUCUCUUGAGCUCACUCAUAAGCAAGAUACUGGUGUAACAGAAUGCAGCAUGCAAUACCUAACUUUCCAUUUAAAAGAAGCAUCCAGUUUCGGAGCCAGAACGUGCACCAGAACUGUUGCUGCUGAAGGAUACCUCUGCUGUCUGUAGGAGGAUUUUGUGUGGGCCCAAACUUCCUCAGUUAGCGCUCAUUGAGGCUGAGGUUUUGUUUGGAGGAACAUGCCGACUGAUUGGGUUCUCUUUUUUCAGAUACCAAGAAGGCAGUUGGAGGUGUUUGCAGCCCCACCUCUCCUACCAGAACUCUGCUAAUGUCUAAAAGCAGCAGCUGUCAGCUCAGCAGCUCUCACACUGAAUGGGACAACCUACAGCUCUUCUGUAUCAAACAAAAGCAAUCAUGUAAAGCAAGAAUAUCUUCUGAGGAUGAGGACCAGGUACUGCAGCUGUGGAUUUUUGCUUUUAAGCACACAGGCACGAGGUGGGGAGAAACGACUCCACUGCUUCAGGACAUCAGGACAGAACUGCUUCCCACACUGCCUGAACUCCAAGCCCUGCUCGCAGUACCUGGCUGCCAAGGCUUCCAUUCUUCCUUCCUGGAUCUUCCUCCUGGAUACACAAGCCACCUGUCCGCACAUUUUGUUCCAUCUGAUACAGACAUACAGGAGGAAACACCAUUCACCUUAUCUUCAAAUUAUCUCUCAUUUGCUCUCACUCUGAUUCUUAUGUUGCUGCAGUCCUUAGUUUGGGGGUUCCAAAGCAGGCUGUUUUGCUACAAAACCUAUUUCAGCAUCCACACAACCCUACAACAUCCCCACAGCCUCAGCUCUGACUGGCACAGACCACCUCCCUGGAUGCCCAGCUCAGCCCGCCAUCCCUCACACACACAGUGCCCGUUCCAAGGAGUCUGCUGUGGUUUUCAUACUGCUAAUUCCACGCAGGCAGAUAAUUCAUUUCUCAUUUUUGCUAAAUCGAACCAGAUUUGAACUAACCAUUUAGAGGAUUUUUUCCUAGCAUAGCAACACUAUCAGAAGGCAGCCAAAACAGAUAAAAAUAAUGAAGCCUACACAGACCUUGACGAGCGAGGAACAAGUACAACUUAAUCAAAAGAAUAACAAAACCAGGGAGCAAGAGAUGUGUGCGUGUGUCUACAUGCAUGAAUUUCACUGUCACAUUUAGGCAGAUAAGCUAUAGAAAAUGCCUAGGUUUUAUUCUGCAAAAGAAAUUGUCCUGCAUGUUUAAAGACUACAGGCAGUGUGCAAUCAUAUGAAUAGCUGACAUAAGAAUAAGUCAUGCCUGGGAAAGUAAGGGGGAGGCUGCUGCUGCUUCCUUAGGGAGGCACUUCUGGUAUGGUACCUGUGGUCAGUGCUUAAGUGGGAAGGUAAAUGGUCAUGGCUUCAGAACCAGAGAUCAACGGGAGCUGGCUGGGAAAGACAGGAAAAAGACAGAUGGAACAAAGUGAUGCAGGGUUUGCUGAUGCACACAGUGUCACGCCGUUGAACUCACACCCAAAGACACACGACAGCAAAUAUUUGUUCCGUCUCAUGACUGUCCAGGCAAAAUUAGAACGAAGCACAGGAAGGAUGUAACAACUUCGGGCAGGGAGCAGUCAUGCAGUGUAAGGGUGCAGCUGGGUGCGGGAGUUGUUCACUCUCAGAAACAAGCCCGAGGGAAGGGUAAGUUUCCAGGUUACAUGUUGCAGUUCUGAGUUAAAAGAGAGACUAAAGACAAAAACCCACAGCCGUACAAUUCCAUAGAUUAAAGCGUGCACCUUUGUGAAGUUGGUACUCAGUACUUCAGAAUCAAGAUCAUGGCUUAAGUAAGAAGUUCUCGGUAGCUAUCUUCACGUGAGUGAGAUAAAACAUUUCAGCCACGAAGUCACUGCUGUGCUGGUAUGUGCUGCGGCAGGCUGAAUCAUACCAUGCUGCUUUCCCCCCUUAAGCAAUCCCCCGCAUUUCUUUGAUAUAUUUAUACAUAACUAAAGAAAUACUUUC